GUUUGCUGACAGUGAUGGGUGUGAGCUAAAGCUCACUUGCUCUUGCCCCUUCAGAUACAACCAGCUACUGUCCUGCAGAGAUGGGCAUCUGCCAACCUGCAGAGUCCAGUGUUUUGAUAGAACAACUCUCUCGAUAUUCUUCUCUAACCCCCUCUUACCCUUCGAGCAUUUCAAACACUGUCCUGGACUCUUCUCCCUCACCUCCAGCACAGAGGCACAGAGUGGAGAAGAAACACAGCACCAGGACCCUCUUUCCUAUCUGUUUAGAGAGAAGAGGGUGGAGAGGGUAUGGGCGGGAAAGUAAAUAGAGACUAAGGGUAGGAGGAGAGAGGGGCAGGAUGGGAGGGAGACAGGGCAUGAGGGAGAAAGAGAAGUCAUUGAUGGGCAGAGGGUGAAGGGAGAAGAGGAGAGAGAAAAUGAGGGGUGGAGGGAAGCUUGCCAUGGAGGGCACAGAAUGCAUUUCCCCCUCAGAACACUGGCUUGAAGCAGAGAAAAUGAAUUUUAGUGAUAUUCAAGGUUGAAACACGCACCAGCAGUAGACACACUUAGAAAUGGCUUAAUAAAUGCAUUAACAAUCUACAAAGACACAGAAAGGUCCAAGAAUUCUAAAUCCUCUCUCCCCUCUAGGUCUCAGCAGACCAAAGCAAGUUAUUUUCUGAUGAAAGGAUUUCAUCGGACCUUGAUGCUCACUUGGAUUUUUAAGUGGAAAAAGGUCACUGUGUCUCUGUGCAGUUGCAUCAUGCAAUUCUAAUGAGAGAGGCUUCUCAGUCACUCCAAAUGUGACCGCGUGUGCAGAUCCUCAUGUUCUCAGACACCAGCCCCUUCUCCCAGACUGGCUUGCUCCAAACUGCAAUCCUCUGAGGCCCAUGAUCAGUGUCCUGGUCUGAGGCACAUGGAGUGUGUCACCCAGAAUUUUUGGAAUGGAAAUGCACUGAUCCUCACAAGAGGCAAUCACCAUUACACCAAGGGAGCUUCUAUGGCUUUCUGUUUGAUCGCAGUUCUACUCCAGGAGGCUGCCACUCUGUUAUGCCCAGGAUAGGUUCAUGAAGUGGAUUCCUGAAAUGCUGCGAUUCACAGAGGGUUUCCUCUCGCGUGUGACUGAAUUUAUCAACAUGUUUAAUAAAGCUACGUGAUCUCCCGCAGGCGUUGGCUGCAUAGCAUCGCGUGUCCACCAGAGCUGCCUCCCUCCCUGAGUCAACGCAUCCCUGAAGAUACACAGCUUAUGUCAGCAGCACAGACCUGCAUCCCCCAUGGUGACUCAAUUUACAUUCCAUACCCUUGCCCCUGCAUGGGGGUCUUCUUGGAAACUCUGAGACAAGUUGGCUGUGUUAGGAGUCCCCUGAUCUCAAUCUUGCCCAGCCCUAUGUGAACUUAGGUCUCUGGAGACUAAGAAGCCCCAUGGGCAGAGGAGGAGGAGCAGCAAAGGCCCCAAGCAUGAAGUGAUUUGGGGGGAGGAGAGAGGAGUUUCCAGAGAGGGUGAGCACCCCAUCCCCACUGCGGCACUGUCCCUCUGCCAAUGCACACGAUACAGCGGGAGUCCUUCCUCCCGCCUGGCUGUGCAGAGUGGCCCUGGGACCUCUAGGUGGGCAGAGAGCGGGAGGUGCAGCAGAUGGAGACGGGCUCCUUAUACUCUCUCCUCACUGCUGGGGAGGAUAGAAGCAGGAGCCACGUGGCUUCAGAGCCUCCUGUUCCUCCCCUUCCCCAAAUUCCUAUCAACAGCUAACCAAAUCCCUGCAAACACCCGCUCUCCAAGCACCUGCUAAGAACCAGGGGUCCUUGGCAGAGGACUCCCCUCGCAGUGGGUGCUCAGAGCCCACUGAUCUUGCCCCUCCGCUGGCCCGGCUAUGGGAACUGGCAGGUGGCAGCGGAGCUGGAACUUAGGAAGGGCAGGAUGUCAGCUUGGAGCCAUGCCGGCUGUCACCAGAGGCCGCCCCUCCCACAGCUAAGCCUUCCCGGGUGUUGUGUCAUGAGCACACACAGUCCGGAGUCUCCGACACCACUUUGUUUCCCCUGCUCUAUCCAUGGGGCCACCUCUCACUUUCCCAAAAGAGAGGGCAGGGUGUCAAGCCGUCUCACAGAUGGCAGAGCAGAUGCCUGACCAUACUCUCGAGCAGCUUCAGAGAAGUAUUUAUGCCCUGAAGUGGUUUCUUCAGGUGACCAGAUGAAGGUGAGUUGCUGGACACCACCUACCCCAAGGCCCCUGUCCUCAGGGAGCUCAGGUCCGUGCCCCUCAGAGGUUCAUGCCCCUCAGAGCCAGCCAGCUCCCCCUUCCACCUAACCCUGACCAGCAGGAGACCUGUGGAAGUCAGGGGUCGGCCGUGCCCCCUUUCCUCAACCUUCCUGCCUCUCAGCCUUCCCAGGCUGCAGAAUUUCACCCCUCAGAGGCUUCCAGAGUCUGCCCACUCCUGUGAGGAACCACCGUCCUCCAUAAAUGAAAUGCAGCCCUUUCCCUGGGGAAGCAUGGGGGGCUUACUGAACCCGCUUCUGUGAGGCUGGGCUUGACUAGUGGGCAAAGCUGAGUGUGGCUGGGCCUGGCUGCUCCAGCGGGGCGGUCCCUGCUGCUCCCCGACCCAGAAGGUGGCCUGUGGCCAGAACGUGGUCUUAGAGCUCAGCCCUGACCAGCUUGUGAACUCAGCCCCGGUCGACCCAGGAGGAAGCACAGGUCUCUUGUCUCACUGAGUCUCAUCCCCUCAGCCACAGACCUUCCUCCCCAUCUCCUCCACCCGCAGAGGUAACCGAGGGCUGGGAUGGGGCUAGGAGGCCUCGUAUAACUGUGGGAACUGUGGCUGGAGGGUGUCAGAGAGAGAACGCGGAAUUCCAGUCUAGUGUGGAAGUGAGGUGAGAGAUGCAGAUUGCGGUUUUAAAAUCUAUAUAAAAUUACCAACUUGAAUAUUUCCUUAUGACUCCUGGAAUUCUACUUCUCGGCCCCUAAGUGUGGACAUCUGAUGCAGUUCUGGAAUGUAGAAGGGUUUUAUAAAGGUUUCAGGAAAUGUUCUUCUUUCCCUAUUACAAGAAACAAUUGACGUUUCUGCUCCUAUAUGCUUUUCUUUCUGCUUUAAAAGCAGAUAAAAUUUUCAGCUACAGCUUCAAGCUAGUGAAUAAAGCUGUGGAAAUCUGGUUUCAAUACAUAGAAUUCUACCUCUGCGAUGACUGCCUGGCGGUGGCUGUUACGUGAUUCCGGGGACGUAAGGCCUGUGAGAGUGAGGUCAGGGCUCUGCUGCACUGGGAAGCGUGGGGGCCGGCAGGUCAUGAUGAUGUUGGAAAAACUUCAUCUAGAUCACUUUCAGGAUAUCAUGCGAUACUCAGUGUGGUAGGAAGAGAUCAGUACAAUGCUUCUACUUGUACAGCAUAACCUAGGUAUGCAGAGGGCAAAAGACAGAAACCUGUGAUCAAGUCAGCACUAGAGCCUAGGAUCUAUUAACUCCCUAUGUACUGUGGUUUUCCUGGAGAAAGAAAUUAGUAAAUGAUAAAAUUGCAGCAGUCAGAUAUAAAAUACAGAGUUGUCUAUGAGUGAAUAGACAUUUAAGAAACAGCAUGCAUAGCUUCACAGAUAAUCCGGUGACGUAGAUUGAAAGUUUGUUUCCUUCCAAGAUUCCAAUGUGAAAAUCCCAACCUGGGAAGGAAUGAACAAACGCUGCUGAACCCAGGAGGCCCAGCAAGUGGGCAGUGCGCUCCAGUGGGCCUGGAAGGCAGAGCAUUGAGCCAAAGGAAAUCGGGUUCAACGCUCUUCAUUCCAGGGAGUUUGCCUUGUGGUUUGGACUUGCCUGAGAUCCAUCACUCCUUUCUUCUUUCCUAUUUCUGUCUCGGGAGAAAUGUCUGUCCUAUGCUUGCAGCACUACUCUACUCUGGAAGCACAUAACAUUUAGUUUCACAGAUUCCUGCCUAGAGAGAAAUUUGUUUCAAGAUGACUUUUACCUUGAGUCUUAGCCAUAUCUAAUUUAGAGGAUAUUUAUAUAAGACUUCCGAUUUGAGAUUUAGAGUUGACACUGAUGGGGUUGAGAUUUUGGGGCUACUGGGAUGUAAUUAGUGUAUUUUGCAUGUUAGAAGCACUCUAGGCCCGGAGCUGAAUGCUGCAGCCUGAUGGUUUAUGUCUCUUCAAGAUGCGUAUGUUGAACUCCUAACACCUAAGGUGAUGGUAUUAGAAGGUGGGGCCUUUGGGAGGUGAUUAGAUCAUAAAGGUGAGGCCUUCAUGAAUGGGAUCAGUGCCCUCCUAGAAGAGACCCCACAGAGCUCUCUCACCUUCCAUAUGGGGACACAGUGACAAGACGACUGCCUAUAAACCAGGAAGUAAGCCGUCACCAGACACUGAAUUCUCAGCACCUGGAUUUUGGACUUCUGGUCUUCAUAACUGAGAAAUGCAUUUCUGUUGUUUGUAAGACAGUCUAUGGUAUUCUGGUAUGGAAGCCUGAAUGGACUAACACAUUCAAUAACUCAAAGUGAUGUUUUAAGAACAGAAGAUCUUGCCAACUGAAGGCACAGGCUUCCUCCCUCCUUACCUUCCUCUCACCCACAUGGCUUCCCACCCCAUCCCUUCACCACUUUUGUCACACCAACGCCACCUUCCCCUUUACCUCUCCCCCAGCAUCAAGCCAACACUGCUGAUUGCUGCUGACCUUCUGCUAAUGCUAAAUUUAAAAUCAACUUUUUAUUUAGAAAGUUUAAAACUUAAAUUAUAGACUUGGACCUAGGUGGAAGAGAGAAAGAAAAAAAGAUUUCUAGACCCUGAGACAAACUCAUACAUCUGUCCAUAAAUCUGCUCAUUUCAUUUUAUGGAAACAAAGAAAUAUGCUUAGUGGGUAGAUUUAAAUACUCAGACACUUAAAGUAUAAGAUAGCAUGGCAACAACUAGUGGUGAGAAGAGUAGGGAGAGGUCCUGAUUCUGCAUUCCCCAAGAGCCUGAUCUGAUUACAAUCUUUUGUUGAAAUUACUCAAUUGUUAUUUUUAAGUAUUUGAUUUUCCCAGCUUUUUGUAAAAAUUAAAUAGACAGACAGACAUACAUACACUGUGAAGCUAAAGGCUAAGAUUCAGCUGAUUUUCCAAAGCUAAUCAUGAGAGUGGAUGUUGUUUAUGGAAGCUGAACAAUAUGACUUUCAUCACCAGGCAGUGGCCCCUGGGCAAAGACUCCAGGGUCUCUGGAUAAGAAGAAACUGAUAGGGAAAAAUGGCAGAAAUGCUGCAAUAAACAACCCUAAUGAAGAAGAAAUGUAAAUCCAUAUAUAACCAAGAAUGGUUAUUUCAGCUUCCUUCUCCUCCUUCUCCUUCUCCUCCUGCUCCUCCUCCUCCUAAGGAUUUUUUUUGUCCCUUUAUCAAUGCAUCAUUUUUCAACUCUGUCACUUCCGCAUAACACAGCCACCCUUUGCUGUUCUCAACUUUUCCUUUUUGUAUUUGUUUGACACUAACUUUUCCCACAGUCUGUAGAUUUCUUUUUGUCCUUUUCUAAUAGUUCAUGUUUUAGAAAUUCAGAACAAACAAUUUCUGAAUGCUCCUCAGAACACCCAUCUCAGGCAGAGAAUCUCACCGAAAUAGAGAAGAAGCUCAUGCUCCUGGAAGAAACAGCCUGAGGAGAGCCGCUGGGCCACAUCUGGCCACUGUCCACAGCGCUGUCAGAUCCAACGAGAGCCGCUGAGUCACAUCUGGCCACCGUCCGCAGCACUCACAUCUGGCCACCGUCCGCUGCGCUCACAUCUGGCCACCGUCCGCAGCGCUCACAUCUGGCCACCGUCCGCAGCGCUCACAUCUGGUCACCAUCCACAGAGCUCACAUCUGGCCACCGUCCGCUGCGCUCACAUCUGGUCACCAUCCACAGCGCUCACAUCUGGCCACCGUCCGCUGCGCUCACAUCUGGCCACCAUCCGCAGCGCUCACAUCUGGCCACCGUCCGCAGCGCUCACAUCUGGCCACCGUCCACUGCGCUCACAUCUGGCCACCGUCCGCAGCGCUCACAUCUGGCCACCGUCCGCUGCGCUCACAUCUGGUCACCGUCCGCAGCGCUCACAUCUGGCCACCGUCCGCAGCGCUCACAUCUGGCCACCGUCCGCAGCGCUCACAUCUGGCCACCGUCCGCAGAGCUCACAUCUGGCCACCGUCCGCAGCGCUCACAUCUGGCCACCGUCCGCUGCGCUCACAUCUGGUCACCGUCCGCAGCGCUCACAUCUGGCCACCGUCCGCAGUGCUCACAUCUGGCCACCGUCCGCUGCGCUCACAUCUGGUCACCGUCCGCAGCGCUCACAUCUGGUCACCGUCCGCUGCGCUCACAUCUGGCCACUGUCCACAGAGCUCACAUCUGGCCACCGUCCCCAGCGCUGUCAGAUGCCGACCAAACCCUGCUUUGGUGUUGAGGUGGUUUGUCUAGUAGCCUCCUUUCUUAAGGGAAUUUAAUCUGCUGCAAAUGGUUCUCAUGUAUGCAAUAGAUGUUACUGUAACUGUUUUAUAAGGUGCAUUGCCUUCACCUUGCCAGGCUCUAUGCCAGUCUGUGUCUAGUCUGAUACCAUUCCUGCACACAUACAUCAAUGCCCCAGCAUUUGGAGGGCUGGAGUUAGGAAUAAUCCUGUUGGUGACUUAUUAUUAACUAUUGUAUGGGACUUAUUAUGUAUCUUCAUGUUCUACUGUUCCCACCUCCCAAACCCCAAAAAAGGAUGAGAUCUGUUUUAUAACAAAAACAUUUACGAUAAGGCCUAUACCAUAAAAUAAGUAAUAAAGUUAAUACCAACAAAAAGAGAAGAAGUAUGAAUUACUGCUGUGGUUAGGGUUGACAUUAUUCCUACGAUUGAGCUUCGAAGACUUUUCUAAGCAGUAAUAAACAUGAACCAAGCGUCACACAGUUCCAUUCAUGGUCCUGACCUGAGAGAGCGCUUUCCUAGAUGGACACCCACUCCCUCUCCCAACUGCCCAACUCAUCAGUAAAUGGAGUUUGAUUUAAGCCAAACCUAAUGCAGUAGUUCCCUGUACUUGAGGUUUUUCCUUCUGGGAUUUCAGUUACCUGUGGUCAACGAGAUCCAAAAAUAUUAAAUAGAAAAUUCUAGAGAUAAACAAUUUACAAGUUCUAAACUGCACGCCUUUCUGGUAGCAUGAUAAAAUCUCAUGCUGUCCUGCUCUGUCCCUCAUGGAAUAUGAAUCAUUCCUUGUCCAGCAUAUCUACUCUUCAUAGCAGCAGUCUAGGUUAUCAGAUUGACAGCUCCAAGAAGAAAAGUGAGUUAAGUACAAUAAUAUAUUUGUGAAGAAAGACCAUAUUUAUAUAAGGUUUGUUACAAAACACUAUCAUAAUUGUUCUAUUUUAUUAUUAGUUGUUAUGGUUAAUCUGUUACUGUACCUAAUUUAUAAAUUAAAAUUUAUCAUAGGUAUGUAUAUAUAAGAAAAAACAAACAAACAAACAAAAAAUAUAUAUAUAGGAUUUGGUACUAUCCACAAUUUCAGCUAUUCACUGGGGUCUAGGAAGAUAUUUUUCAUGGAUAAGAAGGGGGCUGGGGUAUAGCAAAAUAAAAUUAAAUAUGCAAAAAUGUCUAAUCAUAUGACUAAAGAAAAUAUACACGACAUUAGAAAAGAUAAAAGGAUCAGUGGUCAUCAUAGCAGCUUCAAAUUUAGAAUGCAUAUUUACAGUUAGUAAUACAUUUAUAGCAAUCUAUUCAUGAUGGGUGGUAAGAAGAGAGUAAACAAUCUUUCAUUGGUAAAUCUUUUCGAGAUAUCUCAUUGCUGAAUACUUUACAUGCUAUCUCAUUGAAUGUUUAUGAGGAUCUCAAGAAGUAGUCAUAUUCCUAAUAGAGAAAAAAAACUUGAGUUUUUUUUUUCUUGCUAUUUCAGUGUUCCUUUUCCUUUGCCAGUCCUCCAAUAGCUGUUCAAUGAAUCUACAUAUUAAAUUUAAGGCUGACUCCAUCUCCUGAAUCACAGUGGUCAUUCUGCCUCUUGGACUGACUCCAUUCUUCAUUUAUUGAGUCCUUGUGGAUAUAGAGCCUCAGCCCUUGUCAUCCCCUAAGGCAAGUGUUGGUCUGAGAAGCGAAACCAAGCUGGCACAGCACUGUAGGCCUGGGAGGGAAAGUGACAUGUGCCUGCAUCCCAAGGAGUGGGGAUGAUGAAAUCAUGAGGGACUCAAUGAGGCUAUCAUUUGGGGUGCCACUGGAACAUUGAUUAGUGAUGAAAGAGGAGAGACCUUUGGCCUCCUGAGAGAAUAAAUCUGGUCCUCAUGGUGUCUCCUUUCCAAGAUCACCUCGUUCUUCCUGUCUUACCCACUUCUCAGCUUGGGUAAAUAUUAAACCCUCCAGUGAAUGGGGCCAUGUGAAAUUUUAGUCUAUCUAUCUCUACAUCACUGAACAUGUUGGACUCCACUAAUCUUAAGCACAAACAUCAUUUUUCCUCUUAUCAAUGAUCUUUUAGCAUUUUAAGCAACUUUUAUAUAACAAUACUUUUAAUAUUUUUUCUGGUAUCUUGUCUCAGUAUCUUCCCAUGUAGAACAACUCUAUGUAUCACAGAACUACUAAAAGCAAUUAAAUAUGGCAUAUUAAGUUUUUAAACUACAUUCUCUUCAUUAAAAUAACCAGAGUGAAGUUUUAUUCAUAAAAAUAAUGAAGUAAGAG
Molecule: long non-coding RNA, 8566 nt
Filed under: Homo sapiens (human)
Lineage: Eukaryota; Metazoa; Chordata; Mammalia; Primates; Hominidae
Description: HSALNT0183919
Source: RNAcentral